UAUAUAUAUAUAUAUAUAAACAUGGAACAGUGGAUGAAGAUGCAGAUGAUAUUUGGGAAAUUUGCAUAAAUGUGCAGUUUGUUGGACACGUGUCAGGGACUACAGCUUCAGUUUGGGCGGAUAAAUGGAGACUUUGGAAUACUCAUCACAUAUCACAAUGUACUGCUGAGUGCAUGGACUCUCUGAAAGGAUUUCUGCCAUUUCUUUAUUUCCCUGUAAAAUGAACCUGCAGUUAGAUUCGGGAUACUCGGAUGUGUUGAGAUAUUUCUCGAUCAGAAAAUCGAGACACGCGAUCAAGUGGCGGUUCGUUUUCUCCUUCUGCAUCCAGCACUUCCUUUCCAGCAAUCCCUCCGCCGUUAUAUAUCGCAGCUUAAACUGGCACUUGGUUUCGAUCGUCUUGAUCUCGUCCGGUACGCCUCUGAUGGUGAAGGUGAUGGAGAACCUGUUGCACGUGAUCUUUAACGCCUGAUGUUUGGACCCCACCACGUCUUUGGCUUCUGUAAAACAGGAUCUCAUCUGGUUCUGGCAGGAGUGCACGCUGAAAUAGAUGCUCUUGACGUCCGCGUCCACGACCGCGUCGCCGUCGCAGUAGACGCAGCAAUCGAUGCGAGUUUUACCGUCCUCGGCCGACACGGUGUAAAUCACGCCGCCGACUUUGCCGAUUUUCAGACACUGACAUUCACUUUUGACCUGCAGGGUCAUGGCUUCGUCGAGAGGGUUGUGUCUAAACAUGCGCUCGGAAAUAUCCAGGUUGGAGAGGAGGACGUUGUCCUUGCAUGCCUUCUCCUUCAGCUUCUGUUUCACUGACAGUAUGCCUUGCGUGUCAGGAUGCACAUCAAAGGUUCUAGAAAAGCAGAAACAUCAUGGCAUCGUUUGGGAACGGUGUAAAUGAGAGAGGUUUUACACCGUCCCGAUACAGGCCGGAAAACUUUAAAACAACAGGUAUGACGCACAACGAAAACAUGCCAUGAGGAAAUAACCCUUACUCUGGUGCUCCAGACAUCGUGUAGAGGAGCGACAGAGCUCUUCGAGUUCCUUCACACAAAGCUGUAGAAAAUAAAAAGCACAGAAACACUGAUCAGUGCAGCACUCAGGGUCCAUCGACUAAACCCUGUCGUGGUUCCGUGAAUAGACGUGUUCGUGUCCCUCAGCGUAAGGGCCGGAUAUCCUCUCUUUCGGUUUCAUUUCCUGCACAGCAGAACCGCCCGGACGUUCUUAAAGGUACACGAUCACAAUAAUACCCAGACUUUCUGUUCUGCUCUCGUCUGCUCGGUCCUCUCCGUCUUUCCUCCGUUCUGCUCGUCUCUCUGUUCUGUACUUUAUGGUUCUCUGUUCUGGUCUGUCCUGAACAUUCCCUGCGUCUCUGCUCUGCUCUGCUCUGCUCUGCUCUGCUCUGUACUGUUCUGUACUGUACUGUUCUGCGUUCUUCUGCGCUUCUCUUUUAUUCUCUGUUCCUGUUCUGCCUUUCUUCUCUUCUCUGUACUGUUUUCUUUUUCUGCUGGAAGAAAAGACACUUUGUGUUAAGUGAUUGAUUUAUUUUGCUCGUACAAAAGAAAACAUCAUCGAGUCUCAGGGUAAAAACCGUUUCGUCAGCACUGAACAUGGAAAUGUCUUUACAAGUCUUCUGAUGGGUUUGUUGUUGUUGUUGUUGUUGUUGUUUUUUUGUUUUUUACAGAAUGUCUACUGCUUCUCAUAAACAAGAGUUUAUAAAGUUACAGGUGAUUGUACAAAUAGAAUUGUUAUGCAAUGCAUGUAGAAAGAUGAAAGUAAUUUUAUAUGAAGUACUGCAUCUGCGUCAUAUAAUAACAUCUAGUAGCAUAAGGUCGGUAUCCUGGCUCUUCUCUAGCCCCGCCCAUCUUUCACGCCCUCUGCUCGGCGGGACAUGUCUCCGUUCUCCAAGGCUCCGUUCCCAGUGCGCUUCAGUGGUGUUCUGGUGAGACUCGGUGGCGUAGCGCACUCAUCUCCUCGAUCAGUUGCGUGUCGGAGGAGGAAGUUUCCCAAAAGCGUCGUAAAGGUAAGAUCGUCUCAACUAGGAGAGAGAGAGUGUUCGGCGUGACGCUCGCUCUACCGUUUGACCGUGACCUUUGCACUGCGACGCUUUUGUGAAACGCUGGAUCUGGAGUCUGUUUGGGGUCGCAGAAUCUACCUGUGUCCGUGUUUGUGUUUCCUCGCCACAACUGCCGGUUAUUGAAUAUCUAUCUAUCUAUCCAUCUAUCCAUCCGUCCACCCGAGUAUCCUCCUGGCCCCUCGACCUUCACUCGUACUCCCACAGCUCCAUGUCCUGAACCCUGUGGCUGUGAGCUCGAUUCUGUCCGUCGGUGAAGACGAAGUGCUGCGUGCUGUGGUAUCCGUCGCGUCCGCAGACGAGCUCCACCAGCUCUCCGUCACUCUGGAUGAGGACGCGGAUGUUUUCCUCCUGAAACUGACUGUAGUUGAUCAGCAGGUGCUGGAAACAAGCCAGCAGGCCUUCCUUCAUCUCGCCGCUUCUCUCCAGACGUGUUUUGGUCUCCAGGAGCUUCUCCAGGUUCAGCGUUUUGCCGAAGCACACUCGUCGGCGAGGGCAGACGAAAAGGCUGCGCUGAGGCUGCUGGGUAGUGUAAGUAAUCUGAAGCUCACCGCACACGAUCCUCAGCUCCAGCUGGCUCUGAGACGACGGAUCCGACUCGAUUUCCGCGCGUAAAACGCGCCUCGCUCGAUCCACGCAGCUCUCCAGCUCGUCUCUGCAGCGAUGCCCGGCGAAGUGAGACUCGCUCAGGCACGAGGGGACGAGACGAGACCCGACCGGGACUUUCUGAUGAAGCUCUGGACCGUUCUGACCCACACGGACCACGUACAGCAGGACGGGGUUUCCUGCAGUGAACCGAACCAGCUGCCUCUCUCCUUCAAAGGUGAGAGAGACGUCACGGCGUUUCGAGGCAGGGAAUUUCUCCAGCGUCUGGAUCGCAAAAUCCAAGCAGGUCUUCAUGUUGGAAUCCAGAAAGCCUUCUUGGCGCAGUUUCACCUUCGCUGAGAGGAACGUGUCCAAAUCCAAACACGGCACGGUGAAGUUUUUUCUAAAAAAAAAGAGAGAGAGAGAACAGCGACAUAACUGUGUCGUAUAAACCGGUGAGAAUCCGCUCGUCUCCUGCUGCUGAUGCCUUGGAGCUGUGAUGAAGGUUAAUGAUAUUUAACGUAAACACAUUCAUCCACCACGUGGUCCUCGCUUUCUGUCUCCUAAACACACCUUUUAUUUUUCAGAAACAAUAACAAGGACGCUUUCUUUUCACCCAGCCGCCAUGACCUACGAGCUGAACACACCCCGGGAGCGCAAAAUCACGUAAAAGUGAAGUCCUUUUAGUGAAAAAUGUCAGAAUCGCAUCCAUCACGACGGCUGAGACGGCUAACCGUCGUCCAGACGCUGUUUUCAAAUACUUAUUUUUUUUUUAAACGAGUUAAAAGCAGUAUACUGUACUUCAUUUUCAAACACUAGCCAGACUUUCCUGUAACACAACAGUUCUCAAAAGUCUUGCAUCUUCGGAAAUUUCCAUGUGAAUACAUAAAAAGUCACAUUCAAAUGUCAGGCGAACAUGUGUACGUAUCUCUUUCAUCGAACCGUUAGCAUCAGCAUGCUCACGCUUUCCAGCUUUAUUAAACGAGUGACGUCUGGAUCAAACCCUUUUGAAUUCGGUUCCUUCAGACUGUAAUCAACACGCAGUUAAACAGCUCUCGCAUCAUUUUCUGACAGCUUCAGGCUCUGUUAGGAUCAGCGUUAGUUCUACUGAGAGGAAGGAAAUACAAGGAAAUGGGCUCUUACAUCUCACUCAUGAUGGAGAUCGACGACGUUUUGCCGAGCAGCGAUGCACUCCUGAGCCCCAGAUCUUUACUCCCCGAUGAAGACACGGACGUCGCCAUGACACGGAGGUGACGCUCCUGAUCGGAGGAUAUGAGGAGAAGACACGGCGUGAGCACAUCGCUGUCUGGUGCAGACUCGACAGCUCUGUUUAAAUCAAUAAAUAGGAUAGAAUUCAUCUAAUAACGUAGUGAAGGUCACCCGAACGGCUCACCUGUGUGCCGUGGCGUCUCCUCCUUUCUCUCGUCGGUGUGUGAAUCAGCGGCGUUUUAAAAACACACACACACACACACACACGUGUGAGUUUGUUUCUCAGAAUCCCCGAGUCAUCAUGCAGGUGUGUGUUUAUAAUCAUCACUUUACCGUCAACGGUCCACACACACCAACACACCAACACACCUACUUUUACACAGUUGGGCAGAUUUGAGACGUCGCUGAGAGGAAUACGAGAUAUUUAAACACCUCACAAAAUCAGCAAACUAAGCACAAGGGUUGUUCCCUAAAGCAGGGGUUCCCAAACUUUCCCAGGGCGAGGCCCCCCAAAUGGCAUUACCAUUUGACCGAGGCCGCCCUUUUGCAAGGUGUCUUUAAAAACACAUUAAAAAUACAGACUUCUGAAUAUAUCCCCCUUUUUUUUAUUAAAGAUUACAUCUUACAUCUUUACAUUACAUUACUUUAGGAAUUGUGUGUGUGUGUGUGUGUGUGUGUGUGUGCGUGCGUGUGGUUGUCUCAGAGUGAGAAAGAGAAAACAUACUUUUAUUUAUUUUUCACACCAAAUGAUUGCGGCCCCCCCGAGCGCCCCCUGGCGGCCCCGACUUUGAAAACCACUGCCCUAAAGCAUAGAACUCUGUGUAUAUUGCAUCAGGCAAUAUAUUAUAUAUGAUUAUUAUUUGUAUGUAUGUGCAACGCUAGUACAUGAGUGAUAUGAAAUACAGUUUGUAAUGUUUUUACACCAUUGUCGCAGAAUUUUAUUUUCCCUUUGGGAAGUCGCACAAGAAGUCAUGUUCUAGAUCUGUAACACGGACGGCGCGGAAGCCCGCCCCUUCGCCUGACGCGGUUGUCGGUAGCCCCGCCCCUUGUCGCGUGUAGCUCUUCCGGGAGGCGGGGCCAAACGCUGUGGCCAGAAAACGAAUCUCACCAGGAGAAGACUGGUCAGGGUUGAGUUUUCUGCUCAUCUCACGCCUUCAGCUCGUUCUGACAAGAAGGAACAAACAGGACUCGUCCUCAUGGCCUUUGUAAAGGAGUUCUUUUUCCCCUCCCUGGAAACUAAAUAUCUCCUAGAGACGAAAGUGGAACUGAGCCAGCUGGGUGUUCUUGAACCUGAACUCAAACGCAAUCUGCUGUUUGCUAUUUCAGCGAUGGACACGUUGCCGCUCAUGCUGAAGAAAAGCGCAGGACUUCUGGUCGAAGGCAGUCAGAUUCUGAUCAGCAUCACAGCGGGUAACCCCAGUCUGCAUUGCGUCGUGUUUCAGGACCACGAAGGCAUCAGACUUCACCAGACAAUAAAACCGAACAGAGAGUUGCGUCUCGACGACUUCCAUAAGGCUUUUUUCCACGGCCACGACUGUCCUCAUGAUACACCAUGUUGGGAACAGGCUAUGAAUAUCAGAUCCGUCAGCAGUAGACAAUUAGAACUAAAUAUUGUCUGCAAAGAGCUGAGAGUAACCUUCUCCGACCCUGCUCCCGUAGAGGCCAUUGUGGUGCCGACAUCUAAGAAUAUUGCACAAAUCUGAUUUAGAAAAAUAUAUAUAUAUAGAUAUAUAUUAAUAUAUAUUAAUUUCCUCUUUCCUGUUCAAACCUGUGACGCCAUCUGCUGGAAUCUGCCUCUGAAAGAUGAGUGCGCACUUUGAGUGUUGUAGGACGUUUGUUUGUUUAUAUUAUCCGAAGGUCCCUGUUUCUCCCUGCACAGCGGUCUUCCCUUAUUUCUACUGCUUGUCUUCUACAGAAACAUUACACACGACCAUUAAGCCUAAUGUUUUCAAUGUUUUAUUGCCAGUUUUCUAACCGUUUAUAAUCAAAGCCCACUUGUAGUGGAAAUAUGUCUGUUCAGUAGAAUGAGUAUAAUACUAAUACUGUUACUCUGCUAAAAUAAAGAUUCUCAUUAUGUAAUCAGUCUUGAGCUCAGGAUCAGUCCAGGGGUCCUGGAACACAGACUUUCCACUGCACCUUUUUCAUCUGUACACUGAAUUAGGAAUUGAGGAACAGUUCACCUCAGCAAUAACAAGUUCAACAUGGAAAGGAAGUCAACGAGCCCGAUUUGUCCGCUACAGCCAUUGACAUCGGACGGAAGUGGCUGCUUGUGUUCUAAUCCCGCAGGUGACCGGACAUGAUUGUAAAUAUAGUACGCGUGUGUGGAGACGUCUGAGCGAUGGGCUCACACGACACAGCUGGGAGAGUGCUGAUUACUGAGAGUGUGCACCUUGCUCAGUGGUGAGUUCAUCUGUGCUUUGUUUUCAAGAGCAAAUACACGGCGUCAGUGUGAGUGAGCCAGGUUAACAGUGAGUGAUCUGCCUUGGUUAACACACACACUCUCACUCACAUACAUAUUACACUGAUGUACAUCACUGUUUGUUUGUGUAAAGGUGCUGUGUCGCCUCCUGCUGGUCUGGUUAGAGUAUUACACAAUGUAUCUAGCUUUGUACUUUAAUAUACUUUUUAAUCUUGUGUUAAUUCUCAUAGAUUUCCAUAUAAUUCAUUAAGGAUGAUCAAUUAAUCACUAUUUUGAACAUGUAUUAUCUGAUUAAGUGAUACACAAAGAUGUACUACUAUUAUUAUUAUUAUUAACAGGAUCUGUCUUUGAUUAUUGCAGUUUGCUGCUUUAUUGUGAUUAAUUGUGAUUAUUAACUCAGUUAAUCCCUGCAGCACUGGAAUGUAUUUUAGGAAAACACGGAUUGUAUCAGAAGAAAGGUUCCGUUAGGUUCUCUACUACAUCCAGUUCUCAGCUGUGAGGUUCUGGAGCUUCAGGGCUGUAGGUGAAUACGCAAUAAAAAUGACUGAACUGAGAGAACAAAUUCAGAUCUAAAUAAUGAUAAGAAGGAACCACAUGACCACACGGCCUCCACAAUUCUCCAUAUUUUUCAAAAGAUUUUAUAUUCGAAUAUCGUUUUAUUUGUUUUUCCCUCUGUGUCUUCGUGAUUUCAUUUACGGAAUAAUGAUCUCCGUGUGCUAUUUAAAUUACUAAGUAGUGAGAAUAAAAUCACAGGAUAACAAGGAACAAAUAAUUAGGCCUGGCCUCCAAUCAGGGUCUACCUCAUUAGCAUAAAACCAAAGACAUCUGGGACCAGGGAAGCUACCAUGGACUCCUUAAGCAGGAGUCUUUUUAAAGAGACCUGUCUGAGAGAAUGAGGAGAAUGAGGAAGGCGGGGGAGGGUGAGUGACCAGUGUGGGUGAGAGGUUUUUAUACACAGUGUGUACACACCGCCGUCUUCAUACUGCUACAGCGCCACUUUUUAUUCUUAAACCUGCCAAAACACAGAUUAGAACCAGAAGGUUCAGUAACCACAACACUGACACUCACGCUCAUCUAACAUUCCUCGUAUCAGUGUCAGGUCCAGGUUUCUUCUCAUUAGCAUUAUGCACCUGUUCCUUCUGUGGUGUGGUGAUUUAUGAUGACAAAAGCCCACCACACGGGUGUAGUUUCUGUCUCUUGGUGGUGUAGUGGUUACAGUUCAUGCCAAUGAUGGUGUUCCAGAAGGUGUGGGUUCUCUUCCACCUUUUGGCUGGUUUAAGACAAAAAAAAAAAUCCUGCAGCCUCAUGACGUGAUUUGUGAUGACAAAAGUCCAACACACGUGUGUAGCUUCUGUUGCUUGGUGGUGUAGUGGUUAGAGUUCAUGUUUGUGGUGUGUUUUUUCAGGUUCUAAGGCACCUUUUGGCAGGUUCAAGAAUCAAAAGUGGUGCUAUGAAGGUGUGACGGAGGGAGUGGUGUGUAGGCCUCUGUGGCUCAGUUGGCUAAGUCAUCAUGGCUGUGGAGCAGGAGGUGCUUGGAUCAAACCCCAAAUGGAGUACUUGGCUGGAGUUUGGAGGUGGAGGUAGGUGGGUGUGGUUCUCUAGAAAUUGCAGAUGUUGUGUGUGUAGCUUGGGAGAUAGGUGGAAGAAUAGGAUUGAGGGGGUAGAUAGGAUGGAGUAGAUGGAGUAGAAGUAGUGGAGUGCAGCCCAGGAAUGUGUGGAGGAUUAGGGUGGGUCUAAAAGAGAGGGUGAGGGGGUAGAUGAUUGGCUGUGAGCUCAGGAUGAGUUGGAGGAUUGUCAAGUUAGUUGUAGGAGUGGUGGAGUGCAGACCAGGAAGGGGUGGAGGACUAGGGUGGAGGAUUAGGAAAGGGGAUUGUAGAAGGGUGUAGAUGAUUGUC
Molecule: long non-coding RNA, 8173 nt
Organism: Ictalurus punctatus (channel catfish)
Lineage: Eukaryota; Metazoa; Chordata; Actinopteri; Siluriformes; Ictaluridae
Source: Ensembl